AGAGUUUGAUCCUGGCUCAGGAUGAACGCUGGCGGCGUGCCUAAUACAUGCAAGUCGAACGAAUCUCUUUUAGAGAUGAGUGGCGAACGGGUGAGUAAUACAUAGGUAACCUGCCCCUGUGCGGGGGAUAACAGGAGGAAACUCCUGCUAAUACCGCAUAGCCAUGAGCACCGCAUGGAGCUCAUGCCAAAUAUCCUUUCGGGGAUAGCGCAGGGAUGGACCUAUGGCGCAUUAGCUGGUUGGCGGGGCAACGGCCCACCAAGGCAACGAUGCGUAGCCGGCCUGAGAGGGCGGACGGCCACAUUGGGACUGAGACACGGCCCAGACUCCUACGGGAGGCAGCAGUAGGGAAUUUUCGGCAAUGGGGGAAACCCUGACCGAGCAACGCCGCGUGAGCGAAGAAGGCCUUCGGGUCGUAAAGCUCUGUUGUAAAGGAAGAACGGCGCAUACAAGAAAUGGUAUGCGAGUGACGGUACUUUACCAGAAAGCCACGGCUAACUACGUGCCAGCAGCCGCGGUAAUACGUAGGUGGCGAGCGUUAUCCGGAAUCAUUGGGCGUAAAGAGGGAGCAGGCGGCCGCAAGGGUCUGUGGUGAAAGACCGAAGCUAAACUUCGGUAAGCCAUGGAAACCGGGCGGCUAGAGUGCGGAAGAGGAUCGUGGAAUUCCAUGUGUAGCGGUGAAAUGCGUAGAUAUAUGGAGGAACACCAGUGGCGAAGGCGACGGUCUGGGCCGCAACUGACGCUCAUUCCCGAAAGCGUGGGGAGCAAAUAGGAUUAGAUACCCUAGUAGUCCACGCCGUAAACGAUGGUCACUAAGUGUCGGGGGUCAAACCCCGGUGCUGCAGUCAACGCAAUAAGUGACCCGCCUGAGUAGUACGUUCGC
RNAcentral lists this ribosomal RNA (883 nucleotides) under uncultured bacterium. Its description in RNAcentral is "bacterial SSU rRNA". It matches the Rfam family "Bacterial small subunit ribosomal RNA", at positions 8 to 889 of the family's 1533-position model. The record is from RNAcentral.